This 700-nucleotide ribosomal RNA is filed under the name uncultured bacterium. RNAcentral's name for it is "bacterial SSU rRNA". It matches the Rfam family "Bacterial small subunit ribosomal RNA", at positions 92 to 826 of the family's 1533-position model. The record is from RNAcentral.
CUAGUGGCGGACGGGUGAGUAACGCGUGAGAAUCUGGCUUCAGGUCGGGGAUAACUACUGGAAACGGUAGCUAAUACCGGAUAUGCCGAGAGGUGAAAGAUUAAUUGCCUGAAGAUGAGCUCGCGUCUGAUUAGCUAGUUGGUGGGGUAAGGGCCUACCAAGGCAACGAUCAGUAGCUGGUUUGAGAGGACAAUCAGCCACACUGGGACCGAGACACGGCCCAGACUCCUACGGGAGGCAGCAGUGGGGAAUUUUCCGCAAUGGGCGAAAGCCUGACGGAGCAAUACCGCGUGAGGGAAGAAGGUCUGUGGGUCGUAAACCUCUUUUCUCUGGGAAGAAUAGAUGACGGUACCAGAGGAAUCAGCAUCGGCUAACUCCGUGCCAGCAGUCGCGGUAAGACGGAGGAUGCAAGCGUUAUCCGGAAUUAUUGGGCGUAAAGCGUCCGCAGGUGGUUAAUCAAGUCUGCUUUCAAAGAGUGGGGCUUAACUCCAUAGAGGGAGUGGAAACUGAUUAACUAGAGGGCAGUAGAGGUAGGAGGAAUUCCCAGUGUAGCGGUGAAAUGCGUAGAUAUUGGGAAGAACACCAGCAGCGAAGGCGUCCUACUGGGCUGCACCUGACACUCAUGGACGAAAGCUAGGGGAGCGAAUGGGAUUAGAUACCCCAGUAGUCCUAGCCGUAAACGAUGGACACUAGGUGUUGC